RNAcentral lists this ribosomal RNA (494 nucleotides) under uncultured bacterium. Its description in RNAcentral is "partial 16S ribosomal RNA". It matches the Rfam family "Bacterial small subunit ribosomal RNA", at positions 28 to 507 of the family's 1533-position model. The record is from RNAcentral.
GACGAACGCUGGCGGCGUGCUUAACACAUGCAAGUCGAACGGUGAAGCGCCUUCCUUUUUGGUGGGUGUGGAUGAGUGGCGAACGGGUGAGUAACACGUGAGUAACCUGCUCCCUUCUUCUGGAUAACCGCAUGAAAGUGUGGCUAAUACGGGAUAUUCUGGGCCUGUUGCAUGAUGGGUCUGGGAAAGAUUUUGUUUCGGUGGGGGAUGGGCUCGCGGCCUAUCAGCUUGUUGGUGGGGUGAUGGCCUACCAAGGCGGUGACGGGUAGCCGGCCUGAGAGGGUGGACGAGCACAGUGCGACUGAGACACGGCCAAGACUCCUACGGGAGGCAGCAGUGAGGAAUAUUGCACAGGGGGCGCAAGGCUGAUGCAGCGACGCCGCGGGAGGGAUGGAGUCCUUCGGGUUAUGAACCUCUUUCGCCAGUGAAGCAGUCCUGCCUCGUUUGUGGGUGGGUUGACGGUAGCUGGAUAAGAAGCGCCGGCUAACUACGUG